UAGUGAGGCCAACAACUUACACUUUGUUUGAAUUGAGUUAUUUGGCGAGGAAAAAAAAAAUUCAAUUUCUCUCUAUCACAAAAACCAAUUGUGUGCCUUUCAUGGGGUACAAAAACCAGCUCAUUGUUUUUUUUAACUCUUCAACCACUUGCCUGGUAUGUGUUAUUUGAAAAAAUCAACCCAUAAUUUAGCCUCACCAUAAGUUAACCCAACAAAAUAGCAAUUGCACAUACUGUGUUUAUUAUAAUAGGAAUUUCAUCGAACACUUAUGCUGCAUCAUUGAUAAGCACCAAUUUUUUGCAUACAAAUCAGUUAGAUCACUCCCCACAAAAAGAAAAAGCUAGAUGACCAAUCCGAUUUGACAACAUGAGAAUGCAACAGCUUACCAAAUUCAACUACAGGAACCCCCAUUGAUGCGUAUGAAAAGCGAAGGUUUAGACGAAUGCAUUAAAGGGUAGUGGGUUUGUUGGAUUGAUGCAAUUGAAGAAGUUGUCAGUAAGAGUUUGAAGAUGGUGUAAUGAUGGGGCUUCUUGGCUACGUGGCCUUCAGCUUAGCCACACACGACAGUAGAAACCAACAAUUUCCAAAGCUCUUCGUAGAAAUUUCCCAAAACGGUGGUCUGCUCUUUGCCUAUUUCCCAAAGCCCCUCCCCGGCAAAUUUGGCUGCAGAAUUUCGGUUAGUCACGUGGAAUUCAGAUUAGCCGGGCCGACAAUGAAGAAGAAAACAAAGGGUACCUCUUCGAACAGCAUAUAUAUAUAUAUAUACAUAUAUGGUGGAUGGAGUUGCUGUUAUCCUAUUCUUCCUAUCUCUAUCGAGGGUACCUCUGCCGGGACGCUGUCAAAAUUGGGUAUCUAAAGCUUCACUCCUGCCAUUGCAAAUCCUGGUAAUUACAUCUAUAAUUUCAUGCCUACUAUUUACAAGUGUGUUGAACAAAAUUUGGCCGCACUGUUUUUCACCCCUGCCCACAUGUUUGUGGCAUAUUUGUUUUCACCCCUGCUCCUGCACACCAUCUGUUUGGCAAUAGGUCUCAAUAAACAAAGAGUUUGCCACGAAUCAUAAAGAAACGGGAAAAUUCUAACAUUUCCAAACUAACCAAUUUCCAACCCCACUCAAACAAAGACAAUAAUUCCCAAGUGAUGAAAUUUUUAUAGCUAAGGCAGUUGGAUUUUUCAAAAGUCCACAUCCUGGAAGGUUUAAAUCAUGUAAAUCAUAAAUUGACAGAAAUCAAACAUAACUUAAAGUAAAAAGAAAUUUUUAAGGAGAAAAAAAAAAAGACAGAAGUCAUUAUCACUUGAGUGAAGCCCAAAAAAAAAUCAUAAGAGACAAAAUCUGAUAUUCCAUCACAAUUUAUUCAUUGAAAUCUCAGAAAUCCAAUAUACUCUAUUAGAGUCUUCAACUGGGGUGAAAGAAAAAGGCAACAGCAAGAAAGAAAUCCUAGAAUGAAAGAUUCUGCUAGAAACCAAUAUCAUGAUUUGCAAGGGGAAAAACCAAGGCAGCUAAAGGCAUGGUCAAUCAUAAAGAAGGGGGAAAAUUCCAACAUUUCGAAACCAUCCAAUUUCCAAACCCACUCAAACAAAGACAAUAAUUCCGAAGUUAUGAAAUUUUUAUAGCUAAUAAGACAGCAAGAAAGAAAAAGGCAACAACAAGAAAGAAAUUGUAGAAUUAAAGAUUCUAAUAGAAACAAAGACCAUAAAGAAGUCUUUAUCACUUGAGUGAAGCCCAAAAAAAAUCAAAAGAGAUAAAAUCUGAUAAUUUUGGCUUUGGCCAUACUUCUUGAUCUCAAAAGGUGAAUUGGAAAUUCCUACAAAAUUGAUCUCAGGCUUGCUUGGAGAUUGUAAAACCUUGUAGAUUUCUGGCUUUAAUAACCCUACAAUGUUAGUGAAAUUUUUUACUUUCUUUGUUAAAGUAGCAUUAUUCAGUGUAAAAUUGUAUGAAUCGAUAUAGAAGUCAAGUGUUCUUUAUCCGCUAUUAAAAUUGUGUGUUUAAAAUUCAUGUUUGAUUUUUCCAUCAAAUUUCCAGUCAAAAUGUUUAGGUUCAUGGAUGUGGGAGAUAAGUAGAUAUUUUCUAAUAGUUGAGAUGUCUUUAUAUAAUUAACCUUAUUUUUUAUAUUGUGCUGCUAACAGUAAUCUGAGAAAAUCAGAUUAUGGAAUAGCUGUUGGUCAACAAAGGCUUUGGUUAUUUCAAAAAGGGCUAUGUGAGAAAUUCAUGGGGCUCAAUUGAAAGUCUGUGAUCAAGUUUUAAAAAGAAAGGAUUAAAUUAGCACGAUUUGCCCCCAAAGAAACCUAGGAGGUACUUUCUAAUUUCUGAAAAGAGUAAUGUGAGUAAAGGACCUUGAAUUAUUGCACCAUAUUAUAGGACAUUGAAAUUUUUAUUGCUAAUAAGACAGCAAGAAAGAAAAAGGCAACAGUAAGAAAGAGAUUGUAGAAUUACAGAUUCUAAUAGAAACUAAGACCAUGAUUUGGACGGGAAAAAAACCAGGCAGCUAAAGGCAUGGCCUUCAUAAAACCAAACAUGUUUGUUGAUUAACUAAUCGAGCUUUAUAUGAACACAAUAAUGCAAAAAAACUCUUUAAUUCGGCGGAACAUCAACAAAAGCUUUGAAAUCAUCACAACAAUAACGAAGAACAAAGCAAAAACAAAUUUUUUAUAUUAAAAAAAGGGAGGGGGGGGGAGACAGAUCACAAGUCAUUACAAAAAUAAAAUAAAAAAGAAAUUCAUUAUUGUUCGAUCUUCACACUUUUGAGGCCUGUGUAAUUGUUGAGUGCGUAUUGUGGAUUGAAUUGUACAAUCAAAUUAAGGAUUACAAAAUAAAUUUGCUCCCUGUCUUCAAUGGGGUGUAAGUUUUCUUUGGGUAAAUGGAUUAGAUUUGUUUUGAUUAUAAUAGCAAUUUCUGCAACUACAUUAAGUAUUACUACAUCUAUCAAUAAUAGUUGUACAUCCCCUUGAUAGCAAAUAAAGCUAGCAGACACAUAUACAAAUUAAGGAAAACAGCAGGUUAGGCUUAUAGGCUUAAUCCAUUGUAUUGGCUAAACAAAUGGAUUAGAUUUCUUUUGAUUCUAAUAGCAAUUUCUCUAAGUAAAUUAGGCUGAAUCCAUUCUAUUCAAUUUAUGUGAAUAGAAAAUGCACUAAGACAUGAUCAAUAGGUUCAUUGAAUUGAGUUUAGAACACAUUCAAGGUAAAGAAAUCCCAAUCAACAAAACCCACUUAUAUGUCUAUCGUGAGAUUUAAAAAUAAAAACAAAAACCAGAGCAUUAUUUGCAAGAACAUACCUUUAAGAGCCAUUGUCAUGCUUAAUUCAAUACACAUUGAAAGCCCAUCAAAAGAAAAAUAAAGUGGACAUUAAUCUUCCACUGUAUAUGAUGCCCAUUCUGCACAGGAAAACAACAUUAGCUACACAAGCAAAAAGAAACUACAUGUCUAAGCCACAAAAACUAAUCUCUAAAAGAGUUUUCCUUCCAGUAUUUUAAUUGAAAUGAAUCCCAGAAGGUCAAUUCAAAGACCACAAGUUUGGAAAUUACAAUCAAAUUUGAUUCCCCUGAGUUCAAUUCACCUUAAAACUACCAACAUAGAAAUUUGCAACUAAACUGACAAACUUUCAAUCAUAUCAUGACAAAAAAGACAAGGAUGUAUCUAUAAUGAACAUAUUUUUUUCAUCAAAUUUUUUAAUGUUAAUUUUUUUUUCAACUUUAUCAUUAAAGAAAACUCUGAACAAUAAGAUAAUUGCAAAUCAGUAGUAGCCCUUGUCAUGCUUAUAUCAUUCAGGAACAAGAAGAUUAAUUUGAUCUACCCUGCUAAUCACCCAUUCAAAUAUUUUAAAAGGUUGAGUUAAGUGUAUAUGUAUCAUUUUCAGCAACCAAAAAAAAAAAAUCUGAAAGAGUUUUCCUUCUGGUAUUUAAAUUGGAAUGAUUCCCAAAAAGACAAUUCAAGGAGCAAAAGUUGGAAUCAUAAAGAAGGCAACCAACCCAAAAACAGAACAACUAAAUUCGAUUCCCUGAUUGAUUUGCUUGUCUUUGUACAUUAGUAAAGAAACUUGAAGUCUAAUGUACAUUAAUUAAUUUAACAUGUUCAUGAUUUAAAUGUUAAAAAUACUGCCGCCAAUGGUUCUCGAAAGAUAGAAAUAUACAUGAUAGAUGAAAUGUAUGUUAUGGAGUAGAUCAAGGAGUUACUUGCCCACAUAAAUAUAUACAUACAUAGAGAGAGAGAGAGAGAGAGAGAGAGAGAGAGAGAGAGAGAGAGAGGGAGAG
Camellia sinensis is the source of this 4244-nucleotide non-coding RNA. Lineage: Eukaryota; Viridiplantae; Streptophyta; Magnoliopsida; Ericales; Theaceae. The record is from RefSeq and is a predicted model, not a curated record.